RNAcentral lists this non-coding RNA (99 nucleotides) under unclassified sequences. Its description in RNAcentral is "RT-17 RNA". It matches the Rfam family "RT-17 RNA". Rfam says of the family: Bacteroidales (Bacteroidetes), Clostridiales (Firmicutes). Nearby to self- splicing intron genes The record is from Rfam by way of RNAcentral.
UACCUUGCCUCUAGGCAAAACAUAUCAAUUCUGAAGCUGUAUUAGUAGACUUUGAAAGCAAAAUUUCAAAGGUUGAAAAUUCGGCAAACGAGCAUACAA